Molecule: non-coding RNA, 228 nt
Organism: Arachis ipaensis
Lineage: Eukaryota; Viridiplantae; Streptophyta; Magnoliopsida; Fabales; Fabaceae
Source: RefSeq, a predicted model, not a curated record
AUGCAUUAGUAGGCUUUCUUUACAUUUUGUCUUAAUACAUGUUCCCUUGUAUUUUCUUUUUGUAUUUUCUGUAGGUAGCACCUUAUGAACGUCCUGUACUAAGCAAGACUUACCUUUUUCCUGAGUCCCCUGCUAGACUUCCUGGUUUCCAUGUUUGUGUUGGAAGUGGAAGAGAAAGAUUGCUUCCUGAGUGGUAUAAUGAAAAAGGUAUAGAGUUGAUUCUUAGCA